GAUGCAUUUCCCAUCUUGAAACCAAGAGAUGCGGACGCGUCGACCGUACCGUUAAUUCCUCCCCAGUCAGUGUUUUUGACAAUGGGAGGUUGGACUCGGGACGCGACUGUGCCGCGGCGGAACUCGUUUUCGCUAGAACGUUUCUAUUGCAAUCUUUAGUUUUUUUCGAGGGGUACCUGAUCCCAGUCGCCCGGGAGUCAGCCCGCCUUGAGAACCCGCCCCCGAUUUCGAUGCUUCGAUUCGGGGCGGAACAUCUCGGCCGCCAGGUUCAAAGAACCGUCCCUCUCCGGGACCGGUCGCCCCCGACCAAAAAUCUACUUUUCCAUCAACAACUUCUUCCAGAUUAAAUUUUCGAACGUUUAAAAAAAAAAUGAGAAAUAUCACUCUGGGCGGUGGAUCACUCGGCUCGCGGGUCGAUGAAGAACGCAGCCAGCUGCGAGACGUGAUGUGAAUUGCGGGACACAUUGAGCAUCGACUUUUCGAACGCACAUUGCACUCUAGGUCACAAGCCUGGGGUGCGUCCGGCUGAGGGUCGGUAAAUCGUACGCCUCGGCGUUACGGGUCGUUCAUCGAGACGGUCCUCCUAAAAACGGGACUUCUUGGUCGACCAGCCUAAGAUGACGAAAGAAAAAGCGUGCCGGUCGAGGGUGCUAUAUGCAUCCCCGAUUGCGCGAGGAAUAUUUCCCCCCAAUUUUUUCUCUCUAGGUGGUUUCCGUCUCCGAGCGGUCGCAUCGUCUCCGACGACCCGCGCGACGGAUUAAAACCGAAACUCCUACGACUGAAACGGGCGGAAGGAAACUCUGGCGGCGCCUUGACUAAGUUCGUUUUAUACUU
This 834-nucleotide ribosomal RNA is filed under the name Pallenopsis patagonica. RNAcentral describes it as "eukaryotic LSU rRNA". The stretch from base 382 to 535 matches the Rfam family "5.8S ribosomal RNA". Lineage: Eukaryota; Metazoa; Arthropoda; Pycnogonida; Pantopoda; Pallenopsidae. The record is from RNAcentral.